RNAcentral lists this ribosomal RNA (253 nucleotides) under uncultured bacterium. RNAcentral's name for it is "partial 16S ribosomal RNA". It matches the Rfam family "Bacterial small subunit ribosomal RNA", at positions 524 to 776 of the family's 1533-position model. The record is from RNAcentral.
UAUGGAGGGCGCGAGCGUUAAUCGGAAUUACUGGGCGUAAAGCGCGCGUAGGCUGUUGUGUAAGUUGGGGGUGAAAUCCCACGGCUCAACCGUGGAACAGCCCUUGAUACUGCGCGACUUGAAUCCGGGAGAGGGUGGCGGAAUUCCAGGUGUAGGAGUGAAAUCCGUAGAUAUCUGGAGGAACAUCAGUGGCGAAGGCGGCCACCUGGACCGGUAUUGACGCUGAGGCGCGAAAGCGUGGGGAGCAAACAGG